GCCCUGGUGGUCUAGCGGUAUGAUUCUUCCUUAGGGUUACUUAAAAAUCAAGACACCAUCUUGGAAGAGGCCCCAGGUUCGAAUCCUGGCCAGGGCC
RNAcentral lists this transfer RNA (97 nucleotides) under Colletotrichum lupini. RNAcentral describes it as "tRNA-Pro". It matches the Rfam family "tRNA". Rfam says of the family: Transfer RNA (tRNA) molecules are approximately 80 nucleotides in length. The record is from RNAcentral. Lineage: Eukaryota; Fungi; Ascomycota; Sordariomycetes; Glomerellales; Glomerellaceae.